This 538-nucleotide ribosomal RNA is filed under the name uncultured Geobacteraceae bacterium. RNAcentral describes it as "bacterial SSU rRNA". It matches the Rfam family "Bacterial small subunit ribosomal RNA", at positions 9 to 526 of the family's 1533-position model. The record is from RNAcentral. Lineage: Bacteria; Pseudomonadati; Thermodesulfobacteriota; Desulfuromonadia; Geobacterales; Geobacteraceae.
GAGUUUGAUCCUGGCUCAGAACGAACGCUGGCGGCGUGCUUAACACAUGCAAGUCGAACGUGAUCCGGAGCUUGCUCUCAUGAAAGUGGCGCACGGGUGAGUAACACGUGGAUAAUCUGCCUGGCGAUUCGGGAUAACACUUCGAAAGGGGUGCUAAUACCGGAUAAGCCCACAGUCUCUUUGGAGGGUGUGGGAAAAGGGGGCCUCUGUAUAUGCUCCUGUCGCUAGAUGAGUCCGCGGCCCAUUAGCUAGUUGGUAGGGUAAUGGCCUACCAAGGCGACGAUGGGUAGCUGGUCUGARAGGAUGAUCAGCCACACUGGAACUGAGACACGGUCCAGACUCCUACGGGAGGCAGCAGUGGGGAAUUUUGCGCAAUGGGCGAAAGCCUGACGCAGCAACGCCGCGUGAGUGAUGAAGGCCUUCGGGUCGUAAAGCUCUGUCAGUGGGGAAGAACCGCCGGGUGGUUAAUACCUGCCUGGUCUGACGGUACCCACAAAGGAAGCACCGGCUAACUCCGUGCCAGCAGCCGCGGUAAUAC